GCGGCGGACGGGUGAGUAACGCGUAGGAAUCUGCCUGAUAGAGGGGGAUAGCCCGGGGAAACCCGGAUUAAUACCGCAUACGCCCUACGGGGGAAAGCAGGGGAUCUUCGGACCUUGCGCUAUCAGAUGAGCCUGCGUCGGAUUAGCUGGUUGGUAGGGUAAAGGCCUACCAAGGCGACGAUCCGUAACUGGUCUGAGAGGAUGAUCAGUCACACCGGAACUGAGACACGGUCCGGACUCCUACGGGAGGCAGCAGUGGGGAAUAUUGGACAAUGGGGGCAACCCUGAUCCAGCCAUGCCGCGUGUGUGAAGAAGGCCUUCGGGUUGUAAAGCACUUUAAGCAGGGAGGAAAGGGUGAAGGCUAAUAUCCUCCAUCAUUGACGUUACCUGCAGAAUAAGCACCGGCUAACUUCGUGCCAGCAGCCGCGGUAAUACGAAGGGUGCAAGCGUUAAUCGGAAUUACUGGGCGUAAAGCGCGCGUAGGCGGUCUGAUCAGUUGGAUGUGAAAGCCCAGGGCUCAACCUUGGGACUGCAUCCAAUACUGUCACGCUAGAGUACGGGAGAGGGGGGUAGAAUUCCACGUGUAGCGGUGAAAUGCGUAGAGAUGUGGAGGAAUACCGGUGGCGAAGGCGGCCCCCUGGAUCGAUACUGACGCUGAGUGCGAAAGCGUGGGGGAGCAAACAGGAUUAGAUACCCUGGUAGUCCACGCCGUAAACGAUGUCACUAGCGUUGGGAGCGUAUGCUCUGAGUGCGCAGCUAACGCACUAGUUGACCGCCUGGGG
RNAcentral lists this ribosomal RNA (782 nucleotides) under uncultured bacterium. RNAcentral describes it as "bacterial SSU rRNA". It matches the Rfam family "Bacterial small subunit ribosomal RNA", at positions 95 to 878 of the family's 1533-position model. The record is from RNAcentral.